CCUACGGGGUGCUGCAGUGGGGAAUAUUGGACAAUGGGCGAAAGCCUGAUCCAGCCAUGCCGCGUGUGUGAAGAAGGCCUUCGGGUUGUAAAGCACUUUCAGUGGGGAAGAAAGCCUUGGGGCUAAUACCCUCGAGGAAGGACAUCACCCACAGAAGAAGCACCGGCUAACUCCGUGCCAGCAGCCGCGGUAAUACGGAGGGUGCGAGCGUUAAUCGGAAUUACUGGGCGUAAAGCGCGCGUAGGCGGUCUGAUAAGCCGGUUGUGAAAGCCCCGGGCUCAACCUGGGAACGGCAUCCGGAACUGUCAGGCUAGAGUGCAGGAGAGGAAGGUAGAAUUCCCGGUGUAGCGGUGAAAUGCGUAGAGAUCGGGAGGAAUACCAGUGGCGAAGGCGGUCUUCUGGACUGACACUGACGCUGAGGUGCGAAAGCGUGGGUAGCAAACAGGAUUAGAUACCCUGGUAGUC
RNAcentral lists this ribosomal RNA (465 nucleotides) under Vreelandella stevensii. Its description in RNAcentral is "partial 16S ribosomal RNA". It matches the Rfam family "Bacterial small subunit ribosomal RNA", at positions 338 to 795 of the family's 1533-position model. Lineage: Bacteria; Pseudomonadati; Pseudomonadota; Gammaproteobacteria; Oceanospirillales; Halomonadaceae. The record is from RNAcentral.